Molecule: non-coding RNA, 76 nt
Organism: Ailuropoda melanoleuca (giant panda)
Lineage: Eukaryota; Metazoa; Chordata; Mammalia; Carnivora; Ursidae
Source: Rfam
CUGUUCCUUUUUCCUAUGCAUAUACUUCUUUGAGGGUCUGGUCUGAAGAGGUGUAAGGCAUGGGAAAAUGGGGCAG